GUGUGCGGUCCCGCAGCGGGACCUGCAGGAUGUCUGCCGCUGGUCGGGCCGCCAGCG
Molecule: non-coding RNA, 57 nt
Filed under: Methylobacterium platani
Lineage: Bacteria; Pseudomonadati; Pseudomonadota; Alphaproteobacteria; Hyphomicrobiales; Methylobacteriaceae
Description: Li+-I sequence
Rfam family: nhaA-I RNA
About the family: Acidobacteria, Alphaproteobacteria, Betaproteobacteria and Gammaproteobacteria, Verrucomicrobia, cand. division NC10.
Source: RNAcentral